This is a non-coding RNA of Kogia breviceps (pygmy sperm whale), 1044 nucleotides long. The record is from RefSeq and is a predicted model, not a curated record. NCBI's taxonomy places the organism in Eukaryota, Metazoa, Chordata, Mammalia, Artiodactyla, Physeteridae.
GUAAACAGUCUGCUUGCUCAUAGCAACUGAAAGUUUUCUUCCAAUGGUUCUGGUUCCAGGGGAGGUUGUUGAAGAUUAAAUCCUGAAGUCUGUCCCAUUCAGAGAGCAGCAGCCUGGCUUCUGUUGGCUACAGCAUCAGGUUCAGACUUUUCCCUGGACUCCCUCCCAGCUGGCUGUGGCGCACUAGCCCCCUUCAGGCUGUGUUCACGCAGCCAACCCCAGUCCUCUCCCUGGGAUCCAACCUCUGAAGCCAGAGCCUCAGCUCUCAGCCCCCACCUGCCCCAGCAAGUGAGCAGACUAGCGUCUCAGACUGCCACUUCAGUGAUUUUCAGCAAAUGAAGAGUCUGAAAUGUUCUGGCUGUCUGAAGAACCUAUAGCUGAAAGUCAGGUAUACAGCAUGAAGAUUUGAUAUACAUAUAGAUGGUGAAAUGAUUACCACAAUAUAAGUUAACAUCUAUCACCUCAUAUAGUUACAAAUUCUGUGUGUGCAUGUGUGUUAAACUUUUAAGACCUGCCCUCUAAGCAUCUUUCAAAUAUACAAUACGUUGUUUUAAACUUUAGUCACUAUGCUGUAUGUUACAUCCCCAGUACUUAUUUACUUUAUAGCUGAAAGUCUGUACCUUUUGAACACCUUCACCCAUUUUGACCACUCCCACUUACCCCUUCCUCUGGCAACUGACCAAUCUGUCCUCUAUAUCUAUGAGUUUGGGAUUUUUUUAGAGUCCACAUAUACGUGAUAUCAUAUUUAAAAUAUUUUGCUCCUUGGGUUACCUAUUCAUUUCAUAUUGCAGCAAUGUUUUACAAUCUUAACAAUAUGUUAUUCUUUAUCUGCUAGAUUUUUAUGCAUGAAGCCUGAAGAAAAUCAGAUUUAGGAACUGUUUUCCAGGACUGUAUUAUAUUCCUCACUUGUCUCACAUCAAAUUAAUUUAAGACCUUAACAACUACUGUUCAAUAUGCACUCAUUCUGAAUGCAUAUUAAAGACAAAAAUGAGAGAAAAAGUAUAAUCCUCCACUUUUUAAAUGCCAACAUUGUAAUAAAUUACU